UACGUAGGGGGCAAGCGUUGUCCGGAAUCAUUGGGCGUAAAGAGCGUGUAGGCGGCCCGAUAAGUCCGCCGUGAAAGUCCAGGGCUCAACCCUGGAAUGCCGGUGGAAACUGUCGGGCUGGAGUCCGGAAGAGGCGAGUGGAAUUCCUGGUGUAGCGGUGAAAUGCGCAGAUAUCAGGAGGAACACCAAUGGCGAAGGCAGCUCGCUGGGACGGUACUGACGCUGAGGCGCGAAAGCUAGGGGAGCAAACGGG
RNAcentral lists this ribosomal RNA (253 nucleotides) under uncultured bacterium. RNAcentral describes it as "partial 16S ribosomal RNA". It matches the Rfam family "Bacterial small subunit ribosomal RNA", at positions 524 to 776 of the family's 1533-position model. The record is from RNAcentral.